Triticum urartu is the source of this 3476-nucleotide non-coding RNA. NCBI's taxonomy places the organism in Eukaryota, Viridiplantae, Streptophyta, Magnoliopsida, Poales, Poaceae. The record is from RefSeq and is a predicted model, not a curated record.
CAAUCCCGCUGCGGCUGCCCAAUCACCCCGCCGCCCCUCCGCCUCCCGUCCCGCAGCAAAAAUCGCGACCCCUUGCCGCAGCAGCCUCUCAUCCCUCUCCCUCCCCGCCCCACCUUCAUCUUCAAGCGCCGUCGACCACCACCAACAUCUCCACCUCGCCGUGAAGGGUUCCGACCGGUGCCGGGACGGAGGUGCUGGAGGUCGGCUCUCUCUCCACGGUGCGCCGUCGUCAAGGCUUGGAGCACGCUGGGCGAGGAGUUGCGCCGCGGCCGUCCUCUGCUCCACCCCGGACGGUUAUAGCUUGUUUGAUCCCGAGAUCAUGCCAUGGAAAAAUUAAGUAGAUGGCAUACCACGACGAGGACCAGCAGCGCCAAACAGCCGGCCUUCAGGGUCUCCUUCCGGUUCCUGUAGCUGUAUGUACGUGCGACCAUGUGCUCUUUUUGGUGACUUGCUGCCUAGAGUUGCACUGGUAAUUGGAGUACAUCUAGGCAGCAGACCCUGGGCGUUGAGAAGAAUAUGUGAUUGUCCUCAACAACAUGGCGUGGAACCUCGCUGUCACCACGUCAUAUGUCUUACUGGUGCGGUUCGCUUCGACAGGCGGUUGGCAUCACGGCCCGGCCUCGACGGCUCCUCGGUGACCUGAAACUCGUGCAUGCCUUCCACGUGAGUGACUGAGUGAGUGCAUCUCCUCCCUGUCCAGAAUUCGUCAACACAUUGCCAUCUUCAUCUUCAGUUCAUAGUGCCCCUCCCUGCUUCAAGGAAACUCAACAAAUGAUUCCCAGGUUGUCUGCCCUUGUUCAUAGUGUUCAAGUUUAUCGUUGUUCACUGAAUAAAAUUAGUGGAUUGGUUGAUGCUGUACAUGUAUAAGACAGCCUUAUAGAUGUGACUUAAUAUGCGUGUCAACUCUGACAAAGAUGAUUAUUUUUUUCUAUUUGGAGCAUAGGCGCCCUCCUGUUCCAGUUCCAUGGUCGAAUGGGACAUGCGCCCAAGCUGGCGACAACAUCGUUUACUCCAACCUCAACCUUGCUGUCCAGCACGAGCCUCGUGCUGGAUGGCAAGAGGGUGCAGCAAGGCAGUAGGGUACAAAUAUGACGAUCAGGAGCGCCGAGCAGCUGGGGUUCAGGGUGAUAUUCUCAUCCCUGUUCCUCUAUGUAGGUGGCUGUGUAGCUGGAUGUCCAGCAUGUGCUUGUUGGUGGCUUCCUGCCAAGUAGGAGUAUUUCCUAGAGUUGCACUAGUAAUUCGAUAAGACGAUUAUAUAGAUGGGUAAUUAUUUCUUUGGUUAGUUAAAAUAAUUGGGCCUUUCCUUGUCGUCUAGACAAAUGACAUGACCCGUAGAUAUGCAUGUCAAAGAGUAAUUUUGUUUGUUUUACCAACUAAGUCAGAUUUCAUUUUUGACCAUUAGUAAUUUUGUUUAUCAAGAUAUGUAAGUAGCAACUCGCUAUAACUUUAAGAUAAAAUAUAAGCCAAUGGAUGAAAGGGAGGAAAUCGUUGACUCGGAAAUACAGAGCUUAAUUUAGCUGAUCAAAAGUUUUUGUUAUUGGUAAGCAAGAAACAAGCAGGAGGAGAUGUGCUUGUUCAAUCUCCCUUGUUGCAAGGGAAAAAAAGAGUGCAUUUUCGUUUGUUAGAAACAUCUCCCUUGUUAAGGGCAGGCAAACAGCUGGAAUUGAUCUGUUAGAAAACAAACAAAGGUGCAGCUGCCUUGCACUUGCAUACAUAUACAGUAGUAGUCAUAGGCAUAGAACAAGGAAGGAAAGACGACAAGUAAACUGGCAAACCCUUAAUGCUCAAGUAAUAAGAAGUAGUAUUAAUAUGGAUUUGGCAGUCGUAACGGGGUAUCUAUCUGAGCAUACUGGCUAGUUUUACUUGGGAAAUCAAUCAUAUGAAGCUACCUUAAUCUAGUACUAGUAGAUUGGAGACGCAAAAAGUUUUGGCCUUUUAUAGUUCAAAACACUCAAUGGAUGACCUUUUCCUUUGGUGCACAAUAUAGAGGUUCUAUUGAAUGGCUUUGUCUGACCCUGCACUUGAAGAAGACAACUUUUCUUUCUUGUUGCUUCUCUCUCUUUCUCUCCUGUAAUAUCUUCUGUUCUCUUGUCUUGUCCCCUAGAUACUAGUAAUAUUGUGAAAUAAAUUUAGUAGUCCAGAAGAGAAGAAGGUCUAGUCUUGCCUGGAUGAGGCGGAGCGUGAGGUUGGUUCUAGACACACCUCACAGUAGCGUCGAGGAGAUGGUGGAGAUCAGCAAAAAAUUAGGUCAUCCACCAUGGAUCUUCUCUUUGUCUCCAAGCAGCUUCUCCAUGCCCUUGAUGAGAUUGGGCCAACGCUGCUGGCCCUCAGGCAAGACAUUCGACAAAAUGUUCAGGUGAUUGCUCUAGAGGCCAUAUCAAUCUUCCCUGGGUUUUUAUCCCAAGAUACUGCAUGACAUGGCCUGAGAGCAUGGUAAUAUUUCUUGCACUUGUACCUAUCUAGUUCACCGAUUUGUGUUGAUUGAAUCCAUGGUGGGGUCGUGGGGCUCUGUAUCUAUCUAGUACGGAGUACAACUGUAUUCCAAGCAAUUUACUCUCUUGACUGCUGUUGGACUUCCUCUGUCCCGGCUUCCAUUGUGCUGCCUUGAACAGAUCCAUCCGCCUUGUCGCUGAUCUCAUCCAACCUCUGGGGUGGCAGUUUGCAGUCAUUAUUCAGAGCACCAUGCAUCCAAGGCGCUGACCCGGCGCCCACCGGGUGAAGCGUUUAAUCAAGUGAAGCCACCUCCACGCUCACGGACCUGGCCUCUGGUGCCCAGCCGCCGCUUCUGCUUCGUUGUCCCCAUAGCGCGACCAUCCGACGAAUACGCCGCUGUUGUGUUCUGCUCUCCUGUGAAGCACCAAAGUUGCGCUUCCACAACAAAUGAACUUCUAGAUUGUUUGAUUCUACCACAAGAAAGCUCAGGUAUGCUUGACGAAGUAAGUUUUUCGACGAACUGAUGGGUCUAAUCCUCUUCCAUUAGUUGCUUGUGAAGUAAGCCUAGUUUCGCUUGUUAAGGUGCAAGAGAUGUUUGGUUUUGAUCUAGCCAAGCCAAAGGAGUUCAUUGACACAUCUGGCCAUGUCUUCUUUCAUUCCUUUUUCUCAGGGCGUGAUGUUGCUGGUCUUAUUUGGAUAUCCAUGGUGUUCUCAGUCGCUAUCGACAGCCAAACACAAGUAGGUAUUGAAGUGUUGCAAGCCGAGCGUGAGAUGCCAAUAGACACAAACUGUUGGGCGAAUUUGACCUUGUUGGUAUCCUACCAGAACUAAGGGGCUCACCAUAGAUCGAGGUAACGUUCAACAUCGAUGUCAAGAAUCUCCAGGAAUUCUAGUCAUCUUCGUCCAUCUCGACAAGUUCUACAAUGAUGGGCUAUACAGAUUAAUGCAAACAUUACACACACAUACCUCGGCUUCCCUCCAGUGCGAUGCCAACGGUUUGGCCGCAACCUUGGCGCUAUGGGUCACCUCAUCCUUGGAUCUGG